UAGGGAAUCUUCGGCAAUGGACGAAAGUCUGACCGAGCAACGCCGCGUGAGUGAAGAAGGUUCUCGGAUCGUAAAACUCUGUUGUUAGAGAAGAACAAGGACGUUAGUAACUGAACGUCCCCUGACGGUAUCUAACCAGAAAGCCACGGCUAACUACGUGCCAGCAGCCGCGGUAAUACGUAGGUGGCAAGCGUUGUCCGGAUUUAUUGGGCGUAAAGCGAGCGCAGGCGGUUUCUUAAGUCUGAUGUGAAAGCCCCCGGCUCAACCGGGGAGGGUGAGUAGAAACUGGGAGACGUGAGUGCAGAAGAGGAGAGUGGAAUUCCAUGUGUAGCGGUGAAAUGCGUAGAUAUAUGGAGGAACACCAGUGGCGAAGGCGGCUCUCUGGUCUGUAACUGACGCUGAGGCUCGAAAGCGUGGGGAGAAAACAGG
Molecule: ribosomal RNA, 429 nt
Filed under: Gemmatimonadota bacterium
Lineage: Bacteria; Pseudomonadati; Gemmatimonadota
Description: Gemmatimonadetes bacterium partial 16S ribosomal RNA
Rfam family: Bacterial small subunit ribosomal RNA
Source: RNAcentral